AGCGUACACGGUGGAUGCCCUGGCAGUCAGAGGCGAUGAAGGACGUGCUAAUCUGCGAAAAGCGUCGGUAAGGUGAUAUGAACCGUUAUAACCGGCGAUGUCCGAAUGGGGAAACCCAGUGCAAUUCGUUGCACUAUCGUUAACUGAAUACAUAGGUUAACGAGGCGAACCGGGGGAACUGAAACAUCUAAGUACCCCGAGGAAAAGAAAUCAACCGAGAUUCCCCCAGUAGCGGCGAGCGAACGGGGAGCAGCCCAGAGUCUGAAUCAGCUUGUGUGUUAGUGGAACGGUCUGGAAAGUCCGACGGUACAGGGUGAUAGUCCCGUACACCAAAAUGCACAGGCUGUGAACUCGAAGAGUAGGGCGGGACACGUGGUAUCCUGUCUGAAUAUGGGGGGACCAUCCUCCAAGGCUAAAUACUCCUGACUGACCGAUAGUGAACCAGUACCGUGAGGGAAAGGCGAAAAGAACCCCGGCGAGGGGAGUGAAAAAGAACCUGAAACCGUGUACGUACAAGCAGUGGGAGCACCUUCGGGUGUGACUGCGUACCUUUUGUAUAAUGGGUCAGCGACUUAUAUUCUGUAGCAAGGUUAACCGUAUAGGGGAGCCGCAGGGAAACCGAGUCUUAACUGGGCGUUAAGUUGCAGGGUAUAGACCCGAAACCCGGUGAUCUAGCCAUGGGCAGGUUGAAGGUUGGGUAACACUAACUGGAGGACCGAACCGACUAAUGUUGAAAAAUUAGCGGAUGACUUGUGGCUGGGGGUGAAAGGCCAAUCAAACCGGGAGAUAGCUGGUUCUCCCCGAAAGCUAUUUAGGUAGCGCCUCGUGAACUCAUCUUCGGGGGUAGAGCACUGUUUCGGCUAGGGGGUCAUCCCGACUUACCAACCCGAUGCAAACUACGAAUACCGAAGAAUGUUAUCACGGGAGACACACGGCGGGUGCUAACGUCCGUCGUGAAGAGGGAAACAACCCAGACCGCCAGCUAAGGUCCCAAAGUCAUGGUUAAGUGGGAAACGAUGUGGGAAGGCACAGACAGCCAGGAUGUUGGCUUAGAAGCAGCCAUCAUUUAAAGAAAGCGUAAUAGCUCACUGGUCGAGUCGGCCUGCGCGGAAGAUGUAACGGGGCUAAACCAUGCACCGAAGCUGCGGCAGCGACGCUUAUGCGUUGUUGGGUAGGGGAGCGUUCUGUAAGCCGUUGAAGGUGUGCUGUGAGGCAUGCUGGAGGUAUCAGAAGUGCGAAUGCUGACAUAAGUAACGAUAAAGCGGGUGAAAAGCCCGCUCGCCGGAAGACCAAGGGUUCCUGUCCAACGUUAAUCGGGGCAGGGUGAGUCGACCCCUAAGGCGAGGCCGAAAGGCGUAGUCGAUGGGAAACAGGUUAAUAUUCCUGUACUUGGUGUUACUGCGAAGGGGGGACGGAGAAGGCUAUGUUAGCCGGGCGACGGUUGUCCCGGUUUAAGCAUGUAGGCUGAUUGUCCAGGCAAAUCCGGAUAAUCAAGGCUGAGGUGUGAUGACGAGGCACUACGGUGCUGAAGUAACAAAUGCCCUGCUUCCAGGAAAAGCCUCUAAGCAUCAGGUAACAUCAAAUCGUACCCCAAACCGACACAGGUGGUCAGGUAGAGAAUACCAAGGCGCUUGAGAGAACUCGGGUGAAGGAACUAGGCAAAAUGGUGCCGUAACUUCGGGAGAAGGCACGCUGAUAUGUAGGUGAAGCGACUUGCUCGUGGAGCUGAAAUCAGUCGAAGAUACCAGCUGGCUGCAACUGUUUAUUAAAAACACAGCACUGUGCAAACACGAAAGUGGACGUAUACGGUGUGACGCCUGCCCGGUGCCGGAAGGUUAAUUGAUGGGGUUAUCCGUAAGGAGAAGCUCUUGAUCGAAGCCCCGGUAAACGGCGGCCGUAACUAUAACGGUCCUAAGGUAGCGAAAUUCCUUGUCGGGUAAGUUCCGACCUGCACGAAUGGCGUAAUGAUGGCCAGGCUGUCUCCACCCGAGACUCAGUGAAAUUGAACUCGCUGUGAAGAUGCAGUGUACCCGCGGCAAGACGGAAAGACCCCGUGAACCUUUACUAUAGCUUGACACUGAACAUUGAGCCUUGAUGUGUAGGAUAGGUGGGAGGCUUUGAAGCGUGGACGCCAGUCUGCGUGGAGCCAACCUUGAAAUACCACCCUUUAAUGGCUGGUGUUCUAACGUAGACCCGUAAUCCGGGUUGCGGACAGUGUCUGGUGGGUAGUUUGACUGGGGCGGUCUCCUCCUAAAGAGUAACGGAGGAGCACGAAGGUUAGCUAAUCCUGGUCGGACAUCAGGAGGUUAGUGCAAUGGCAUAAGCUAGCUUGACUGCGAGCGUGACGGCGCGAGCAGGUGCGAAAGCAGGUCAUAGUGAUCCGGUGGUUCUGAAUGGAAGGGCCAUCGCUCAACGGAUAAAAGGUACUCCGGGGAUAACAGGCUGAUACCGCCCAAGAGUUCAUAUCGACGGCGGUGUUUGGCACCUCGAUGUCGGCUCAUCACAUCCUGGGGCUGAAGUAGGUCCCAAGGGUAUGGCUGUUCGCCAUUUAAAGUGGUACGCGAGCUGGGUUUAGAACGUCGUGAGACAGUUCGGUCCCUAUCUGCCGUGGGCGCUGGAGAAUUGAGGGGGGCUGCUCCUAGUACGAGAGGACCGGAGUGGACGCAUCACUGGUGUUCGGGUUGUCAUGCCAAUGGCACUGCCCGGUAGCUAAAUGCGGAAGAGAUAAGUGCUGAAAGCAUCUAAGCACGAAACUUGCCCCGAGAUGAGUUCU
RNAcentral lists this ribosomal RNA (2773 nucleotides) under human gut metagenome. RNAcentral's name for it is "bacterial LSU rRNA". It matches the Rfam family "Bacterial large subunit ribosomal RNA". The record is from RNAcentral.